Musa acuminata AAA Group (dessert banana) is the source of this 818-nucleotide long non-coding RNA. RefSeq lists it as uncharacterized. NCBI's taxonomy places the organism in Eukaryota, Viridiplantae, Streptophyta, Magnoliopsida, Zingiberales, Musaceae. The transcript is spliced from 2 exons. The record is from RefSeq and is a predicted model, not a curated record.
UCUCAGAGUUUAUAUCCUGCUAUCAUUCUUGCACAGAAGUAAAUGAUCAAGUAACCUAGAAAUUAUUACUUGACAUCAUUCUACACUCCAAGAUGUAGAUGCACUCACAUUUUCCUGGAAAUUCCAGCUACAAUUCGAGUCUCUCUUCUCUGGUUUAUAAGGCAAAAGAUAUGACUAUGAACAGCUCUGAAAAGAUAUCAGAAAGCACACUGCCAUCCAAAGAGGGAGCUUUGGAUGGAGAUGAUGAGGACUGGCCCCAAAUCACCACCACCAGCAGUAGCCAACCCUAUCAUUGGCAACCUUGUGGAAGACCUCCGACUUUAAACACCCACAGCUGACCUAGAAGUCAUAGUCUUACAGGUCUUGGAUCUUUCUUAUCUAUCCCCCCUUUCACAUCACAAUAUUUCUGCAGGCCUCCAUCAACCAUUUGUCUCCGAUCAGUGGACUCGAGAUCACUUCAUUCAACCUUGGAUUGUCUUGAGUACCUCGAACUGUGUUCUUCGUGCUCACUCAUGCUAAAAGUAUCAAUCUCUGUGUCACUUUAGAACAGAGUUUGCUGCUGUAAUCUACAGUCUUUCAUGCUACCAAGAAAUGAGUGCUUCAGAAGUUCAAAGGAUUUCAUGAAGGCUGCCCUCAAAGGCUAUCAUAAGAGAGUUCAAAGAAAGAGAAAAAGCAAUAGCAUCAUGUAGCAAGAUGAAAUCAGCAUCUGCAUGGAGUUUCACAUCUGCAUCCUGCUUGUGACCAUUAAGAUGAAGGGUUUUCUUGUUUGGGAUAGCUCCAUUCAUGCAGAUGAAUAUAACAGGGAUCUGAAUCAUACA